GAAGGUGUUUCCGUCACCUUUCUGCUUUUCUUUCUCCAAUCAAGCUCUGUUCAUCUCGUCUCUGGCCAAGAAGAAGAAUUAAGUUCCUCCACGACCUCCCUGUCUAUUUUUUGUUCCUUCACGACCUCCUUAUGUACGCACUUAGCAACCCGUCGGAGGAGUUCUUGCUAGUUGUCGGAGCCUCCACUGGCAAGAACCUCGGCCUUUUCUGCUUCAACGAAGAUGACGUUCACGCCCUACUUUGCCAGGUUUCCACGAUCGACCCUCGCCUGUGUGAUGGCUCCAAAGUUGUGUUGCACUCAACAAGGAUGCCUAAGCACUUAAGAUCUCCAUUACUUAUGAAGCCAGCCAGUAGAAUUCAUUCGAGAGCUGUAGUUGCGUUUUUCCUUCGGUGCAUGUAAGCGAUUGGAUUUUUCUACCACAGGAAAAAAGUGCAUUCUGUUGAGAGUAAUUUUCAGAAACAAGAAGAGGAAAUGUAGAAUCACUUGUGAAGCUACUGGUUGAUUGCAUCUUGGAAGCCAAAGAAAAUAUUGAUGGAAACUUUGCUGCUUCUCUUCAUAAUGAAAACAUGGAAAGACAUUAUGACAUAUGACAUUUAAGUUCAAAUGGUCGAGAUUUACAAUGAACAAGUUAGAGACCUACUUACUUAGGACAAAACAGAUGAUAAAUUAAAGAUUAGGAGCUGCAAUGAUGAUGAAUUAAGUCUUCCUUAUGCUACAUUGUGUCUGGUGACAUCUACAGCUGACGUUCUGACCCUCAUGAAACUCAGUGAGGUCAACCGUGCUGUCAAUUCCGUUGCACUUAACAAUAGGAAUAGUCGUUCCCACAGUGUACUCACCGUGCAUGUUCACGGAAAAGAUACAUAGAAUUCAUGGAUCCGGGUCGAAUCGCAUAUCUUUGCUAGAAGGGAAGCCAGUACCAUAUAAGAAGGAGAGAGAUGCUAGAACACCUCCUCUGACAGCAGCAAGGACCUCGAAACGGUGGCUGUAGGAAGACUUCAAGAGCCAGAUAUCAAUGCUGGGGUGGUUACUUUGAUUCAAAGCAACCCCAAUAGCUCCAAGCCUCCAAUUUAGUAUUUUUUCUUUGUGGUUUUCUUUUUUUCUUCAGUGUUUCUUAUAGAAUCUUGGUGAUUUGACAAACAGCUUUAUUUAACUGACGAUCUAUGCUAAAAUUUGGUCUAAGGUAGUUUAUUUGUUGUAUUGCCAUUCUUAUACUUUUUGUGCAUCUAUGUGUGAGUUGCUAUGAAACUA
Long non-coding RNA from Arachis duranensis, 1250 nucleotides. RefSeq lists it as uncharacterized. The transcript is spliced from 6 exons. The record is from RefSeq and is a predicted model, not a curated record. Lineage: Eukaryota; Viridiplantae; Streptophyta; Magnoliopsida; Fabales; Fabaceae.